RNAcentral lists this ribosomal RNA (468 nucleotides) under uncultured bacterium. RNAcentral describes it as "partial 16S ribosomal RNA". It matches the Rfam family "Bacterial small subunit ribosomal RNA", at positions 28 to 507 of the family's 1533-position model. The record is from RNAcentral.
GACGAACGCUGGCGGCGUGCUUAACACAUGCAAGUCGAACGGAAAGGCCCUGCUUUUGUGGGGUGCUCGAGUGGCGAACGGGUGAGUAACACGUGAGUAACCUGCCCUUGACUUUGGGAUAACUUCAGGAAACUGGGGCUAAUACCGGAUAUGAGCUCCUGCUGCAUGGUGGGGUUUGGAAAGUUUCGGCGGUUGGGGAUGGACUCGCGGCUUAUCAGCUUGUUGGUGGGGUAGUGGCUUACCAAGGCUUUGACGGGUAGCCGGCCUGAGAGGGUGACCGGCCACAUGGGGACUGAGAGACGGCCCAGACUCCUACGGGAGGCAGCAGUGGGGAAUAUGGCACAAUGGGCGGAAGCCUGAUGCAGAAACGCCGCGUGCGGGAUGACGGCCUUCGGGUUGUAAACCGAUUUCGACUGUGACGAAGAGUGAGUGACGGUAAUGGGUAAAGAAGCAACGGCUAACUACGUG